RNAcentral lists this unclassified non-coding RNA (376 nucleotides) under uncultured Thermoactinomycetaceae bacterium. RNAcentral describes it as "contains 16S-23S intergenic spacer region". Lineage: Bacteria; Bacillati; Bacillota; Bacilli; Caryophanales; Thermoactinomycetaceae. The record is from RNAcentral.
UCCGGCUUUCACCGGCUGUCCCCUUAGAGUGCCCACCCGAAGUGCUGGCAACUAAGGGCAAGGGUUGCGCUCGUUGCGGGACUGAACCCAACAUCUCACGACACGAGCUGACGACAACCAUGCACCACCUGUCACCGCUGCCCCGAAGGGAAGGCGCAUCUCUGCACCGGUCAGCGGGAUGUCAAGCCCUGGUAAGGUUCUUCGCGUUGCUUCGAAUUAAACCACAUGCUCCACCGCUUGUGCGGGCCCCCGUCAAUUCCUUUGAGUUUCAGCCUUGCGGCCGUACUCCCCAGGCGGAGUGCUUAAUGGGUUACCUUCGGCACUGAGGGCUCAGGACCCCCAACACCUAGCACUCAUCGUUUACGGCGUGGACUAC